ACAUCGAAGACUCUUUCUCCUCUCGGUCACAUUUUUAGCUUCAUUUUUAUCAUUCACUGUAAUCAGACAACUUUUGAGCUUCUUCUCUUCUUCAUUUUAGAUUUUCACUACAUUUUCUUUUCCACAAGGAUCAUUUCUAGUAUUCGCUUCCAUAUUCGAUGCUUUUGUUUCAGCGUAAAAGCAAGAAUAAGGUGUAUAAAUUGAGGAGCAAGACGAAAUCAAGGCUUCUUAAUUAGUUGAAAGAUCUCAAUGCAAAGCUUGUUCAAUUCCCCAUCACCAAGGUCAUGGGUGGAGUCCCCAGUAAGCUCUCCAAAAUAAAAUUUCUCAUGCUUCUUCUUUGUAUUAAUUUGGAUGGAACUUCCUUCUCUUUUUGGUUUUCAUUUCCUGAGUUCUUUUUUAAUUUUUGAAAUCCUAAACAUAUUUGAUUAUUAUCUUUAGCAUUGUUUAGUUAUAAUCUGAUUCUGUACUUUUAUUUGUAUUUGAAUUUGAUUUGAUUAUUAGUCUAG
RNAcentral lists this long non-coding RNA (506 nucleotides) under Arachis ipaensis. RNAcentral describes it as "long non-coding RNA (AIPA_LNC002490)". The record is from RNAcentral. Lineage: Eukaryota; Viridiplantae; Streptophyta; Magnoliopsida; Fabales; Fabaceae.